GUUUCCUUUUCAUCUUUCUCGUUUUGGUUUGAGCUUGAAUAGACUCACUUAUCAUUACACCUUCUUUUCUUAGUGAUGUGAAAAUAUAUAAGCACACAAAUUAAACCUUUUUUUGACAAUUGUAGUAUAUAUGUAAGUAGGGAUCGUUCUUAAACCGGAGAUUAGAAGGGAUUGCUAAAACACUUUAAACUGACUCAAAUAGAUAAAACUAAGCUUUAAAACACUUUACUAGACUUAAAAGACUCAAAACAAGUUCACAAGACUCAAAAUAAGCUAAAAACACUCAAAACUGCCUAAAAACACAAACUGGACAGUUUCUGACUCUAAACACAAUUUUGGACGAAAAUUAGUUUUAACUUGACUCAAAACACUUAAAAACACAAUCUAAAACAAAUCCUAACUAGUUAGACACUCUAAAGUAAAUGGGGAUUUGGUUUUGGACGAAAAUAAAGUAAACAAAACAAGAACUAAAACUAGGCAGAUUUGCACGAAUUUGGUGGAAUAAGAUGGAUGAUGGGCUAGCUAGGAGGUCUUUCUCCACACAUAACAUACUUGCAUACAAAACAAUUUCCAGUUGCUUUUUUAAUGAACCAUGAACCUCAACACCCCAAGUUAAUUAGGUACGCUUAAAUUAACCCUCAGAUUUUCCUUAAGUCAUUGAAUUGAAUGGAAUUGGCGCAUCGCAAUCAAAUUAUUCCUCAAAAGUUCCCUACAUGAAAGCGCAUAAUAGAGAAACAAUCAAAGAUUAUUAAGUUCUAUGAAAAUCAUAAGUGUUGACAAGGCAUUCGUAACUAUGAAAGCGCAUGAUACUUAUGCCAGGAAUUUACUUAACAUGAUUGUGACUAACAACCUUUACUACUUAUGAAUAUAAGUUCAUAACGAUUAGGUGAAACUCCCUUAUAUCCUAGCAUCAGAUUUAUGCAUGCAAAUUAAGUGUGCACUCUCAACUCACAUACAUAAACAAGUUUUAAUUCAAACAGAUAAGUAAAUUGAAUUCACAAUUCAUGAAAUCACAACUGGAUGUAAUCAAAUCGUAUUGCAAAUAUAGCCAUGGUUUCGAAAUUCCCCCUAGCUAAGAGGGGUUUAGUUCCUCAUACUCACAAAACAAAGAUUAUUGAAUUUAAACAUUGAAAACAAAAGAAAGAUUACACCUAAAACGUUCCAGCAACUCCAAUUAGAAUGGCAAGCACGUCCAAGGGCUCUCCUCCUUCUUCCUUGCUGUGGCAUAAGGUGUGGUUGGUGGUUUUAUUGGUGAUGGAUGGUGUAUUCUUGUGUAGGAUGAUGAAUGAUGGCUGAUGAGGGUGAAAGGUUGCGGCUGAAUGUGUAUGGAAUUGUAUGGAUCAAAUGAAUGAUGUAGAAUGGUGUCUAGGGUUGCGGCACAAGGGUUUCUGAAUGGUAGGGGGUGGUGACGAAUUUUGGCUGAAAAACUUAUAUUUAUAGGCUAGGGUUUUGUAGAAAAAGGCUUGGUCUAAUCCAAGGUGGAAAAGAACUAGGGUUUGUGGCAGAUUUUUAGGCUUCUAGAAAGAGAAUAGGCGCCACUUUUUUAGGCUUCUAGAAAGAACAUGUUUUGUGGCAGAAAUUGGGACUUCUAGAAGGGUUUGGGGCGCCACCUUUCUAGGGCUUCUAGAAAGGUAGAUGCAGCAUGUGUUUAAGGGAAGAUAUAGGCCUUCUAGAAGGGUUUUAGGUGCCCUUGCAGCUGAUUAUUCAUCUUCCAAGUCUUGAAUUGAUUUCUCCAUCUCUUUAGCACGUUCUUAGCUUCACUUGAUCUUCAAAAACAUCCGUUCCUUGUGCUCCACAUGCAUGCAAUCCAUUCCAGCCCAUAAUUGCUCUAAAAUGCUUCAAAAUGCACUUUCUUGCCAACUUUGCCAAUUAGACCUACAAACAAACGAAAAUAGCUUAAAUCACUACAAUAAACACAAAUUAACUAUGAAAAUGCAAGAAAACAAGCUAACUAAGUCGCAUAAAUAUGCUCCUAUCACUUAGUUAUUUGAAAAUGCCCAACGUUGGAGCUACCAUUUUGGUUUCUACAACAGUAAGUUGUUGUUUACAGUAACUUAAUUUCUUAAAGUGUUGAUGGGAAUGUACUUAUGUAAUUGGUCAGAUUCAGACUAGGUUCACUAGUUUGUGCCGAUUUCCUUUUUCGGGAAUGUGAAUCCUUUAAACCAGGAGGCCUGCCACGCUAUAGGGUAGGAGCAGGUGAUUGGCUAGCCGCCAAUGUACCUUGCCAUGUGGGAGGUGAGGCCACCCCACCCUCAAGGACGGAUCGGCCUUCCACAACGGUGUUACGGCAUACGAUCGAUACGUCCAUUCUUACAAGUACGUUUGCAGCGGGUAUAUGUGAUCCAAUCACCUUCGCUAGAUCAGUAAAAGCAUCCAACAUGGUUUGAGCAAUGCUCUGAAGAUCUAGAAUGCAUCUUACUUCAGUUUCAGACUGAGGCGUGCGGGGAUCUAAAUGAGACAUAGUGGGAGUAAUCCACGACAAUAAUUAUAACAUACGGGUUAAAAUUAUUUAAAAUGCCAAAAAUUAGCAUUGGAUCGAAAAAGGAUAGCCCAAAAAAUUGAGGCUUGGGUUCAGCUGCAAAUAGGCAGCCCACAGAUGGUUGCAGCCCACGGGUUUAGAGAAUUGGGUAAGUCCAGCAACCAAGGCUGCUGGCAUUGGGCCAAAGGGGCGCGCAUGGACAAGCCCAGUCGAAGCUGGCUUGUGGGUUAUCACAUGGAAGACCCAGCCGAAGCUGGAGCCUAGUCUUUGGGCCGGGGGAAGAAGCCCAGCCAUAUGGGCUGGCUGUUUGCUUGCGAGCCGGGCAAGAUCAAAGCCCAGCAAGCUACGGGCUGUGCUGAAAUAGGCUUGAGUGGGCCAGGGCUUCAGGCCCCUGUCAGGGGACAAGCCCAACAUGCUUAUGGCGUGCGGGUUUGGGCUGGAUUAGUUCGGGCUUCAGGACCAUGUAUCAUACAACCCAAGCUGAAGCUUGGUUGAGUCCAAGGGAUGCAACAAGCCCAGAGGGCUGCGUACAAGGUCCAAUGACACCAAAACGAUGUCGUCCCACAAUUUGUCGCCACACGGCUGGGCUACAGGCCAACACGGUGGUGCCGCAAUUUUCCCUUUUUCUUCUUUUUUUCUUCUUCGAAUAUCUAGGGUUAAAACCCUAAUUACUUCUAAAUUAAUUUUGAUUCUUUGACUCACAAUUCCACAUAGCAUAUAUGCGUAAUGCAUGAACAAUUAUAUAUAUUGACAAAAUAUAUGAACAUAUAUACGAUAUAUAUAAUUGGAAGGAAAAUAUAAAUAUAAGGGGUUCAUGCAUCAAGGUUUUUUUCAAAUAUCUUAAUUUAUUUUAGAAGAACCUGAUUGGGAGAAAACGAUUGAAAGCCCUUGAAUUUGUAGAAGAUAGACUCCUUCUACGAUCCUUCAUCCCUUAGCUUUUGGCAAGAGCGUGCUGAUAACGUGUUGUAGGCCUAUUUAACUGAGCUAUCUAAGGACUAAAGAGAGGGGGCCGGCAGCAACAAGAGAGAAAGAGAGAGAUUUAAUUAUGAGAUAUGUGUUGUAUCACCCCCUUAUGUCUUUAUUUAUAGUGGUAGGAUGGGUAGAGUCCUUACCUUUUUAGUAUUACAUCUCUUAAUAGGUGAUCAACUCCUAAUGGUAACUACAAGAUACUCCUAGAUAUACUAGGAUUUACAUAAUCACAUUCCUAAUCUGAUACAACUGCAACAAAUAUGAAGAAAAAAAAUGGUAUUAAUAUUGCGUGGCUUCCAUGCGUUCCUCACAAAUGGGAAAAAUAGAUGUAAAAAAAAUAAAUACACUAACCUAAAAGUUAGCUUACUCAUCAGUCUAAUAUGGAAUGUAAAUUGGGGGUAGCAAUGUACUCAAUAGGUUUAAAAUUGAAGAAAUAAAAUAUUAAACAAAUGCUUAUGGUUUUUGAUCUUUAAUCUAACUUUCUAUUGAGGGGAAACAACACAUGUGAAUAAAGCAAAUGUUAGUCAAUGGUGUUGGGUCUUUUUUCUAACUUUCUAUUGAGGGAAACAACAUAUGUGAUUAAAGCAAGUGAUUUAAUGAUUUAUAUCUUAGGGACUAGGCUAGUCUUACCAUAGUAUACUUUAAAUAAUAUCGUUAAUAAUACUAAUAUAGUAUGAGUGUAAUCGUGUAAUAAGACAAUCUUAAAUUCUUAAUAGAAAGCAUAGCUGACAGAUAAGAUGCAUAUAUACCUUCCACCAAAUGCAGAAAAAAAAAUAGAGAUACAAUGUAUUCAUAUCUCGAUACACUAAAAUGGACAUGAUUCAUAUCUAUUCCAUAAAGAAUGCAAAUAUUCCACAUUUUUCGAAUAACGUAUAUUCACAAUAUGACUUGGGCUAAAAUGAAGUCCUGUCUAAUUCACAUUCGCCAUGUGGACAUGACGUGACAAAAUAAAAUGAACCUGGGCUAAAAUCAAAUAACAUGACGCCCACAAAUAAUGAAUGAUAUCGAGCCAGCCCAACUGUAAGGUUAUGGGGUCAAAUAACACAAGUCUCACACUUGGUCAUAUCCAUCCAACCUAAAACAAUGUUCCAUCACAGUUGGAGGUUGUGGGUUUGAACAAUGCAACUCUCACACUUGGUCUAUAAUUUUACAAAAUUAAGGCGUUUUUUAAGAUGCAAACUUUGCGUGCGACCUUGCAUUAGAAACGCCCUUAGAAACGCCUACAAAAUUGAAGUUGAACUUGAAACAAAUCCCUCCCAGUUGCAUUGCACCAUUCACAGUCAUAAAGCAGAACAGAACGCCGGCCGGCACGGCCUCCAUCGAAUCCUUCUCCUGCGGGGGUCUCUUUCAUCUCUGGUAAUUUCUACAACAAUUAAUUAAAUCUUUAAUUAAUAAUCUAAAUCAGUUUCUAUGAUGAUUAUAUAUAUAUAUAUAUAUAUAUAUAUAUAUAUAUAUAUAUAUAUAUAUAUAUACGCGCACAACCCCAUGUAUAAUUGAACCUUGCUUCCAAAAAUUAAUCAAAGUUUUGAUCUAAAAUCUUAAUCGGUGUCCUGUAUAUGAUUUUUUUUUCUUCUUAGAAAUCUUAAUUAAAAAGUUUUAUAAUUUGUCGUGUAAGGGAGAGCGCGAGUAGUGUUGCAGCAGCAAAAUGAAAAUGGGACAAGAUAUGUUGGUGAAAAUCCUGCUAACUCUGCCCCCCAAAACUCUGAUGCGAUUCAAAUGUGUCUCUAAAUGGUGGUUUGCUCUCAUCAACAAUCCGGGUUUCGUGUCAAAGCACCUCUCCAACUCUGCAAACAACAAUCUCACCACUCUCCACGUCUUUUUGGCACGAUUAGUAGUGCAGCGGCAACAUGAGGAGGAGGAGGAGGAGGAGGAGAACCCCAAGUGUAACAGCACCACUAAGAAGGAGGAGACUCCAGAAGUAUUAUCAAUUCUUGGGUUUUGCAAAGACGACGAUAAUACUGAUGACGAGCAUAGCAAUAGCUGCUCUCUUGUUGGUGUCCAGGACAUCAUUAUUCCUCAAUCUUUUAUUCAAAAGAUCAGAGUCCCGGAACAACCAUUUUGUAUCCUAGGCCACUGCAAUGGCAUUGUUUUACUAUCUAGUGACAGUAGCCUAGUUUUAUGCAAUCCCGGACUUGGGGAAUUCAAUCGUAUUCCCGAUGAGCCAUGCCUUCCAUUGUGGCCCUUGGACCUGCCCGAUGAUCACGAUGGGCAAGAACAUAUGGAAACUGGUUUUCAUAUUGGAUUUGGCUAUGAUCCCGUGUCUAAUGAGUGCAAAGUUGUGACCUUUACUACUUAUUUUCAAGAGGUAGAUGAAGACUGCCGGACUUUUCUUAGUCGGCACAGAGCAGUAGUAUACACCACGGGUUGUGAUUUUUGGGAAGAGCUCAACACAGAUUCUUUAGAAACCGAAACUACUUUGUUUUGGCCUGAGUAUUUCCAGAUGCCCUUCAAGGGAAUGUGUUAUUGGCUGGGAUAUGAGCAAGAUAAGGAAUUAUUUCCAUUUGACGCAGUUGAGCAUCGAUUCCGUGCGAAUGGGGGAUUGAUCAUUUCCUUCGAUGCAAGUCGUGAGGUAUUUCACGGUAUACCCUUUCCAUCUGAGCUCCAACCGUUAAACCGGUCGGAUCACCUUUAUACGAAGCUUACUGUUUGGAAUGAAUCAGUUGCUUUUUUUGCCCUUGGUGUGAACGAUCGUCGAUAUCCUGAACCUUAUGAAAUGUGGGUGAUGGAUGAUGACUUUAAGGGUGCUUGGACAAAACACUUUACUAUUGAGGGCACAGAUGAUCAGAUACGUAGGUCUAGUCCUGUGGCGUUGUGGGGCGAUGAGUGUCUUAUGGUUGACAGUGAUGGGCACGUAGUUUUCUUUAAUCUUUGUACCAAAAAGCUUAAGCACACUCCCAUUGAAACAGUAGAUAAUAAUAUUGUUGUUUAUGUGAAUAGCAUAGUUUCGGUCAUGGGACGCAGCCACAAGCUUAAGAGCAUAGAGAAUACUUGCUCAGAUAAAGAUGAAGAUGCGAUGGUGGUGGUAGACGGGAAGAGGGAAAGCUGCCGGAGGUUGUACUCAUAUUCGAUUUGGGCCAUUCCACCGGCUGAUGUUUCUCGUAGAAUCAAGAAGCUGAUGGAGAGCCUCCAGGCAGAGUUUGGUGGGCCGGAGAUUGAACCUCACAUCCCCAUCUUGGGAUCUAUCCAGAUGAUGAGUCGGGAGGAUGCCCUUAACAAGUUUAGAUUUGCUCCUAUGGAUGACAUCGUUGCUAAAGUUGAUCGGGUGAUUACUAAGAAUUACUAUUACCAGUGUGUUUCACUAUUGAUGAAUCGAAAGGUAUAUAUUUUGUCGAUCCCUUGUUAAUACAUAUUCAUUUUCUUGAUGUUUUGUUUUGUUUUGUUUUGUUUCCUUUUCAUCUUUCUCGUUUUGGUUUGAGCUUGAAUAGACUCACUUAUCAUUACACCUUUUCUUAGUUAUUUGAAAAUGCCCAACGUUGGAGCUACCAUUUCGGUUUCUACAACAGUAAGUUGUUGUUUACAGUAACUUAAUUUCUUAAAGUGUUGACGGGAAUGUACGUAUGUAAUCUGCGUGUCUGAAAUAUUUGAUGCA
RNAcentral lists this long non-coding RNA (7037 nucleotides) under Malus domestica (apple). RNAcentral describes it as "long non-coding RNA (MDOM_LNC014635)". The record is from RNAcentral. Lineage: Eukaryota; Viridiplantae; Streptophyta; Magnoliopsida; Rosales; Rosaceae.